AAGUCGUAACAAGGUUUCCGUAGGUGAGUGGACAAGAGCUCCCUUUGCGCUGCGCGUUUCCCCUGCUAACCUUUGUGACCUAGGUGAACCUGCGGAAGGAUCAUUAAAGAGUUAGGGUCUUCUAGGCCCGAUCUCCCAACCCUUUGUUUAUUGAACCUCUGUUGCUUCGGCGGACCCGUCUCACGACCGCCGGAGGACCGCUGAAAGGCGUCCUCUGGCCAGCGUCCGUCGAUAGCCAACCACUUAAACUCUGAAUAAAUCGUGUCAUAUGUCUAAGUAUUUGAUUAAAUUAAAGCAAAA
This 300-nucleotide unclassified non-coding RNA is filed under the name Cladophialophora sp. Its description in RNAcentral is "partial contains internal transcribed spacer 1". The record is from RNAcentral. Lineage: Eukaryota; Fungi; Ascomycota; Eurotiomycetes; Chaetothyriales; Herpotrichiellaceae.